Molecule: ribosomal RNA, 449 nt
Filed under: uncultured bacterium
Lineage: Bacteria
Description: SSU rRNA
Rfam family: Bacterial small subunit ribosomal RNA
Source: RNAcentral
AGAGCGAACGCUGGCGGCAGGCUUAACACAUGCAAGUCGAACGCGUGUAGCAAUACACGAGUGGCGCACGGGUGAGUAACGCGUGGGCAUCUGCCUCAUGGUUCGGAAUAACCCCGGGAAACUGGGGCUAAUACCGGAUGGUACCUUCGGGUUAAAGAUUUAUCGCCAUGAGAUGAGCCCGCGUCCGAUUAGCUAGUUGGUGAGGUAACGGCUCACCAAGGCGACGAUCGGUAGCUGGUCUGAGAGGACGAUCAGCCACACUGGGACUGAGACACGGCCCAGACUCCUACGGGAGGCAGCAGUGGGGAAUAUUGGACAAUGGGGGCAACCCUGAUCCAGCCAUGCCGCGUGAGUGAUGAAGGCCUUAGGGUUGUAAAGCUCUUUUACCAGGGAUGAUAAUGACAGUACCUGGAGAAUAAGCUCCGGCUAACUCCGUGCCAGCCAGCCGC